This 253-nucleotide ribosomal RNA is filed under the name uncultured bacterium. RNAcentral's name for it is "partial 16S ribosomal RNA". It matches the Rfam family "Bacterial small subunit ribosomal RNA", at positions 524 to 776 of the family's 1533-position model. The record is from RNAcentral.
UACGUAGGGGGCAAGCGUUGUCCGGAAUCAUUGGGCGUAAAGCGCGCGUAGGCGGUCCGGUAAGUCCGCUGUGAAAGUCGGGGGCUUAACCCUCGGAUGCCGGUGGAUACUGUCGGGCUUGAGUACGGAAGAGGCGAGUGGAAUUCCUGGUGUAGCGGUGAAAUGCGCAGAUAUCAGGAGGAACACCGGUGGCGAAGGCUGCCCUCUGGACGGUGACUGACGCUGAGACGCGAAAGCGUGGGGAGCAAACAGG